UCCAAAGAGUUAGUAUGUUGUUUGAGC
This 27-nucleotide small RNA is filed under the name Bombyx mori (domestic silkworm). RNAcentral's name for it is "piRNA piR-bmo-1408174". The record is from RNAcentral. Lineage: Eukaryota; Metazoa; Arthropoda; Insecta; Lepidoptera; Bombycidae.